UGUGUGUUUUAUUUUACAGAUACAAAGGAAGUUUUUCUUAGUCUGGUCUUGACAUAAUACUAUCCCGUUUAGAUGCCCCAAAUCUUCGAAGAAACUGGAUGAUGUGAAAGCAUAUCCAGGUCCUCAAGAGAGAUGCAAAUUACCCCACCAGCUGUGUUCCCUCAUGUUAGGAAAAAGAGAGUUCAAUAUAUUUCUUGUCAAAUACAAAAUCUUAGAAGGCUGAAACACAUUAACUAGAAAAGGGAAUGCAAUUUGGAUUCAACUACCUGCUCUCAUGAAAGGUAACAAUAGUUAAUAAUGUUUGCAAUUCACAGGAUGUUAGAGAUAAAAGAGUCCUCAAAUAUCCUCCAGCAAAAUCUCUCUCCUUUUACUAAUGGGCAAACUAAGGACAGGAGAAGAAAGAUAAGUCAAGUCUUCAGUCUCAUGCUGUGAUCUGAAGAUUUAUCAUAUCUCAGUGAUUACGUGGGUCUUUGUUUUUUGAGUACUUUUCAGCAGACACUUGAAAACAAUGGAAAUAUCUCCAAUAAAAACAUCGGCGAGACACUGCCACACCGUGCUACCAAGAAAACCACUCGCGAGCCUAUGUAAAUCAUACCAUCUACAAACACAAAACACAACAGUUUUCCUUGAGAUUACUUUUAGGAAAUAAAUAAAUCUCACAUCCUAGAAGCCAAAACAAAAAUAAUCAUUAAAUCUGAGGUUGUUUUUUUUUAAAUAUGUACAGGAGCUGAAUAAAAAAAUACAAAUGCAAACAACAAACUGGAAAAAAAUAUGACAUGUGAGACAAGAAAGGCUUCCCUGACACACACAGGCCUUGCACACAGCAGGAGAGGGCAGCCAGCGACUGGGCAGACAGCACACGGAGCCACACAGAGGGGAAGGCCCAAAGCCAUGCACCUGCAGUUGGUCUCUCCACCACCUAUUCUGUCACCUGUCACUGAUUUUAUCACCAACAUAAGAAUGGUAUCUCAGCUAACAGACGCUCAAUCAACAUUUGUGGAAUUCAUAAAUAACAAUGUGUUUAACCCACUAAUCAUUAAAGAAAUGUGUAUUAAAAA
This is a non-coding RNA of Callithrix jacchus (white-tufted-ear marmoset), 1058 nucleotides long. The record is from RefSeq and is a predicted model, not a curated record. NCBI's taxonomy places the organism in Eukaryota, Metazoa, Chordata, Mammalia, Primates, Cebidae.